UAGCUUGCUACUUUGCCGGCGAGCGGCGGACGGGUGAGUAAUGUCUGGGAAACUGCCUGAUGGAGGGGGAUAACUACUGGAAACGGUAGCUAAUACCGCAUGACCUCGUAAGAGCAAAGUGGGGACCUUCGGGCCUCACGCCAUCGGAUGUGCCCAGAUGGGAUUAGCUAGUAGGUGAGGUAAUGGCUCACCUAGGCGACGAUCCCUAGCUGGUCUGAGAGGAUGACCAGCCACACUGGAACUGAGACACGGUCCAGACUCC
Molecule: ribosomal RNA, 262 nt
Filed under: uncultured Enterobacteriaceae bacterium
Lineage: Bacteria; Pseudomonadati; Pseudomonadota; Gammaproteobacteria; Enterobacterales; Enterobacteriaceae
Description: partial 16S ribosomal RNA
Rfam family: Bacterial small subunit ribosomal RNA
Source: RNAcentral